Molecule: ribosomal RNA, 483 nt
Filed under: uncultured bacterium
Lineage: Bacteria
Description: partial 16S ribosomal RNA
Rfam family: Bacterial small subunit ribosomal RNA
Source: RNAcentral
GAUGAACGCUGGCGGCGUGCCUAACACAUGCAAGUCGAACGGAGUCGUUUUGGAAAUCUCUUCGGAGAUGGAAUUCUCGACUUAGUGGCGGACGGGUGAGUAACGCGUGAGCAAUCUGCCUUUAAGAGGGGGAUAACAGUCGGAAACGGCUGCUAAUACCGCAUAAAGCAUUAAAUUCGCAUGUUUUUGAUGCCAAAGGAGCAAUCCGCUUUUAGAUGAGCUCGCGUCUGAUUAGCUAGUUGGCGGGGUAACGGCCCACCAAGGCGACGAUCAGUAGCCGGACUGAGAGGUUGAACGGCCACAUUGGGACUGAGACACGGCCCAGACUACUACGGGAGGCAGCAGUGGGGAAUAUUGCGCAAUGGGGGAAACCCUGACGCAGCAACGCCGCGUGAUUGAAGAAGGCCUUCGGGUUGUAAAGAUCUUUAAUCAGGGACGAAACAAAUGACGGUACCUGAAGAAUAAGCUCCGGCUAACUACGUG